AUCCAGCUGACGAGUCCCAAAUAGGACGAAACACUCGUCAAACUGGAU
This is a non-coding RNA of Schistosoma mansoni, 48 nucleotides long. NCBI's taxonomy places the organism in Eukaryota, Metazoa, Platyhelminthes, Trematoda, Strigeidida, Schistosomatidae. The record is from Rfam.